CCUACGGGUGGCUGCAGUGAGGAAUAUUGGUCAAUGGGCGCAAGCCUGAACCAGCCAUCCCGCGUGCAGGAAGACGGCGCUAUGCGUUGUAAACUGCUUUUCCAGGGGAAGAAAACCUGAUACGUGUAUCGGCUUGCCGGUACCCUGGGAAUAAGCAUCGGCUAACUCCGUGCCAGCAGCCGCGGUAAUACGGAGGAUGCGGGCGUUAUCCGGAUUUAUUGGGGUGAAAGGGUAUUAAUAAGUCAUAGGUGAAAACCUGCAGCUUAACUGUAGAAUUGCCAUUGAUACUGUUAGUCUUGAGUACGGUCAAGGUAGGCGGAAUGUGUAAUGUAGCGGUGAAAUGCUUAGAUAUUACACAGAACACCGAUUGCGAAGGCAGCUUACUGGGCCAUUACUGACGCUGAUGCACGAAAGCGUGGGGAGCGAACAGGAUUAGAUACCCUUGUAGUC
This 450-nucleotide ribosomal RNA is filed under the name uncultured bacterium. Its description in RNAcentral is "partial 16S ribosomal RNA". It matches the Rfam family "Bacterial small subunit ribosomal RNA", at positions 338 to 795 of the family's 1533-position model. The record is from RNAcentral.